GAUGAACGCUGGCGGCGUGCCUAAUACAUGCAAGUCGAGCGAACAGACGAGGAGCUUGCUCCUCUGACGUUAGCGGCGGACGGGUGAGUAACACGUGGAUAACCUACCUAUAAGACUGGGAUAACUUCGGGAAACCGGAGCUAAUACCGGAUAAUAUAUUGAACCGCAUGGUUCAAUAGUGAAAGACGGUUUUGCUGUCACUUAUAGAUGGAUCCGCGCCGCAUUAGCUAGUUGGUAAGGUAACGGCUUACCAAGGCAACGAUGCGUAGCCGACCUGAAAGGGUGAUCGGCGACACUGGAACUGAGACACGGUCCAGACUCCUACGGGAGGCAGCAGUAGGGAAUCUUCCGCAAUGGGCGAAAGCCUGACGGAGCAACGCCGCGUGAGUGAUGAAGGUCUUCGGAUCGUAAAACUCUGUUAUUAGGGAAGAACAAAUGUGUAAGUAACUAUGCACGUCGUGACGGUACCUAAUCAGAAAGCCACGGCUAACUACGUG
This 497-nucleotide ribosomal RNA is filed under the name uncultured bacterium. Its description in RNAcentral is "partial 16S ribosomal RNA". It matches the Rfam family "Bacterial small subunit ribosomal RNA", at positions 28 to 507 of the family's 1533-position model. The record is from RNAcentral.